Molecule: unclassified non-coding RNA, 384 nt
Filed under: soil metagenome
Description: partial contains 5.8S ribosomal RNA, internal transcribed spacer 2, and large subunit ribosomal RNA
Rfam family: 5.8S ribosomal RNA (bases 1-120)
Source: RNAcentral
GAUGAAGAACGCAGCGAAAUGCGAUAAGUAAUGUGAAUUGCAGAAUUCAGUGAAUCAUCGAAUCUUUGAACGCACCUUGCGCUCCUUGGUAUUCCGAGGAGCAUGCCUGUUUGAGUGUCAUGAAAUUCUCAACCCUUCUGGCUUUGCUAGUCAGGCUUGGAUUAUGGGAGCUGCUGGCUUUUGAAGUCGGCUCUUCUAAAAUGUAUUAGCAAGAUCAUUGCUGCUGAUCAUUGGUAUGAUAAUUAUCUAUACCAUUGAGUCGGCUUCCUUCAUUUGGAGGAUUUUGCUUCUAACAGUCUUUCUUCCUAAGACAGUACUUGACAAUUUUGACCUCAAAUCAGGUAGGACUACCCGCUGAACUUAAGCAUAUCAAUAAGCGGAGGA